RNAcentral lists this ribosomal RNA (466 nucleotides) under uncultured bacterium. Its description in RNAcentral is "partial 16S ribosomal RNA". It matches the Rfam family "Bacterial small subunit ribosomal RNA", at positions 28 to 507 of the family's 1533-position model. The record is from RNAcentral.
GAUGAACGCUGGCGGCGUGCUUAACACAUGCAAGUCGAACGAUGAAGCCCAGCUUGCUGGGUGGAUUAGUGGCGAACGGGUGAGUAACACGUGAGUAACCUGCCCUUGACUCUGGGAUAAGCCUGGGAAACUGGGUCUAAUACCGGAUAGGAACGUCCACCGCAUGGUGGGUGUUGGAAAGAUUUAUCGGUCAUGGAUGGACUCGCGGCCUAUCAGCUUGUUGGUGAGGUAAUGGCUCACCAAGGCGACGACGGGUAGCCGGCCUGAGAGGGUGACCGGCCACACUGGGACUGAGACACGGCCCAGACUCCUACGGGAGGCAGCAGUGGGGAAUAUUGCACAAUGGGCGAGAGCCUGAUGCAGCGACGCCGCGUGAGGGAUGACGGCCUUCGGGUUGUAAACCUCUUUCAGUAGGGAAGAAGCGAAAGUGACGGUACCUGCAGAAGAAGCACCGGCUAACUACGUG